Spodoptera frugiperda (fall armyworm) is the source of this 288-nucleotide long non-coding RNA. RefSeq lists it as uncharacterized. NCBI's taxonomy places the organism in Eukaryota, Metazoa, Arthropoda, Insecta, Lepidoptera, Noctuidae. The transcript has 2 exons. The record is from RefSeq and is a predicted model, not a curated record.
AUGAAGGUGUCUUAACAGAAAUACUGGUUAUUACCUGGUAGGGGAACUGUCCGAGGCUGGAGGCCUGACCACCAACAAUUCUGGAUGCGCUCUCUGCCUCCUCAGCUUUGCGGAUUUCGUCGGCAAGAGGUUUACCGAUCUUAGCCAAGUAUCCGUAGGCGGUGAUGUCGUCUAGGUCGAUGGCAUCCUCGACGUUGAUGUUUUUAGCGGUGGCCACCGCCGCCAGAGCCAAGAGUGUCAGAGCCAACUUCAUGUUGUCAGUAUUGAUGGAUCAAUGUGGCAUUGUCU